AAACAACUCUGCACACACCAAGGUCAGUGAAGAAGGAGGGGGAGGAGGUGCUCCAGGCGCCUGAGCAGAGAUUCCACUGCAGUCCGUGGUGAAGGCCAUGGUGAGGCAGGCUGUCCCCCUGCAGCCCAUGGAGGAUCCCACACCAGAGCAGCUGGUUGUACCCUGAAUGAGGCUGUGACCGUGUGGAGAACUUGCACUGGAGCAGGCUCCUGGCAGGACCUGUGAUCCCAUGGAGAGAGGAUCCCA
This is a long non-coding RNA of Aquila chrysaetos chrysaetos, 246 nucleotides long. RefSeq lists it as uncharacterized. The transcript is spliced from 2 exons. NCBI's taxonomy places the organism in Eukaryota, Metazoa, Chordata, Aves, Accipitriformes, Accipitridae. The record is from RefSeq and is a predicted model, not a curated record.